The sequence is an unclassified non-coding RNA, 300 nucleotides long. The stretch from base 1 to 46 matches the Rfam family "Eukaryotic small subunit ribosomal RNA", at positions 1786 to 1831 of the family's 1831-position model.
AAGUCGUAACAAGGUUUUCGUAGGUGAACCUGCGUAAGGAUCAUUAACGAGCAAGCCAAUUCUUGGCAAGCUGUUUAAGCAAUGUUCAAGUCCCUGAGACCAGCUGCUGGCUCAGGGCGGCUUCAUUUGAAGCGACAACGGCUGCUACUCGCUUGUCAACUGCAGUGAGUUGAAUUGGAGCAGUUGCGCUGUUAGUGUUCCAGUGUUCAAGGCUGGGUGCCCAAAUCUGGCUUAAUUGCUAGGACUGUAUCCUCUGGAGAUGCAGUGGGCUGUAAAGUUGGCGUUCACUGGCGUUGACGC